AGGCGCCCACCGGAAUGCUCAGCGCUGCCGCACAGAGAGUCCGCAUCCGUGCCUGCCACCGGCCUAAGUUAUACCCGGAGCUACGACGACUUAUGAGAUGGGCGACUCUAGGACCCUCAUUUUCCAGACGAGAAAACGGAGGCACCUGCAGGUUCAGUGACUUGCCCAAGGUCACGCACCUGGUCAGCGGCAGAGACAGGACUCCCCCCGCCCGGGCCCGCGGAUUGCCGGGUCGGUUCUCAGUCACCGCACAGGUGCCCUGGAGAGUGCGACCACCCCCUGCCCUCCGCCCCGCGCCGGCCCUCGGCUCAGUGCCCCGCCCUUCCUGGAGCACGGCCUGCGCAUGCGCGCGCCCCAGGGCCCAGCCCUGUUCCUGCUCCGGCUCCUGCGGGGAUGGAUGCUUCACGCAGUAAGCGAGUAAGCGAGCCCUGGAGACCGGGGCCCUGGGUGUGCGGUCGGCUCAGUGCCACGCGGUGAGAUAGGCAUGGUUAUCAACCCACGCCAAGGCGGUUGUGUACCUGGCAUAGAAAACACUGCUGUUGAAUGUUGUUUCCAUAGUCAUUCGCCAGCGUCCACUGAUGAGAGGUGCCACCACGGACACCCGGCCUUGCUCCGUCGAAGCUUUGGUCCAUUAGGACCAAAGUCAGGCCCCAGCGGGCCUCCCUGCCAUUCCUGGACGGCCUCGCGUCCUCCCAGAGCCUGACCUUCUCUUAUCUCUGCAGCCUAAGUCGCGGAAGCGUAGACACCCGGCUUUUCCCGCGUGCUCUAUCGGGCUCCCCUGGACACGGAGGGUGGAGCAGAAAGAGCAGAGGGGCCGGUGGGAGCCAUGGGGAGUCCGCCUAGCUCCAGAGGACACCUUACCUGGAUCCGCCUUUGUAGCCUCCUCCUGGCUCUGGGGGCUGUCCUGUGGGGUCCGAGUAGCUGAAAGACAGCCCCUCCAUGUGAGGAAGCCCCCAACUGGGGAAAACCCCCUCGUGGACUCAUUCCUGUCCCUGCAUGUGGCCUUCACCUGACUGUCUGCAUUGAGGCAUCCUCUGCCAAGAGCAAUUUCAAAGUGGCAGGAAAGUGCUGCUUUCAACAUCUGCCACAUUUGCAAGAAGAGCAAAGGUGGCCCAUUUGAGACCACCCUUGAACUAAACCAUCCAGUGAGCCCCUGAGGUCGGGACAGAAGUGGCCAUGACCUUCCUCAAGCAGGGACUGUGGUGGAGCCCACCUUAUCCAGCACAAGGUGGCCUGCUGACUUCUGGUGACAGUGAUGCCAACUUCCUGGCUGUCCAAGGUUCAAAUCUUGGUCUUAAUCCUCCUGGCCUUCUCUCAUCAAUGGCCAGAGCCACCCUAGCUAACAAGGUGCCCAGGGACUCCGGGGUGGGAGAAGUCCAGCUUCUUCUUAGCUGAGGACAUUUGAGUCUCGUCACAGCCCCCAAAAGAAUACUCAUUUUUGUAGCUGGAGGGCCUGGCCUCUGUCUAUCUUUGCUUUUCCAGAAGCUGACAAGUACCUGCCGGAAAAACUGCCUCUUUUCCCUCCCGUGCUUGGAGCAGGCAUUGCUGACAGAUCACAGCUGCUGGGCCCAAAGGUCCCUUUGCACGCGGGACUUCAGGAAGUUGCUGCUGACCUAUGGGAGUUGGUGCAGAAAGAUGAAAUUUGUUAUCCUUGGCUGUAUCAACUCUCUCUCCUCUCCUUGGUGGUGAUAGUUUUGUUCUUAAAAGCCUCUUGUGAGAGAAUUUGUGGAUGAAGAACCUGUAAGAUCACAAGUGAAACAAUUUAUUGAUGUCAAUAGAUUUAUACACGUUCAUUAAGAAUCAAAACUAAACUAAAACAUCAGUCUGACUAAAGAGACCACCACAGAUAUUUCAUAUGCUGUACAUCAGUAACAAAGGGUACCAAAUAGUUAAUAUCCAUGUACUAGUCACAUGAGAAAUGUUUUAGGGUCAUUGACCAGUGUAGUCAGUACAGUGGUCCCAUGGUAUUUGUGGGGGAUUGGUUCCAGGAAUCUCUUGGACACCAACUCCGUGGAUGAUCAGACAAUAUAAAAUGUGGGUCAGGUGCGGUGGCUCAUACCUGUAAUCCCAGCAUUUUGCGAGAAUCACUUGAGGCCAGUUCAAGAUCAGCCUGUGCAACAUAGCAAGACUCCACC
Homo sapiens (human) is the source of this 2135-nucleotide long non-coding RNA. The record is from Ensembl. Lineage: Eukaryota; Metazoa; Chordata; Mammalia; Primates; Hominidae.